RNAcentral lists this ribosomal RNA (379 nucleotides) under Lacertaspis gemmiventris. RNAcentral's name for it is "partial 12S ribosomal RNA". It matches the Rfam family "Bacterial small subunit ribosomal RNA", at positions 848 to 1397 of the family's 1533-position model. The record is from RNAcentral. Lineage: Eukaryota; Metazoa; Chordata; Lepidosauria; Squamata; Scincidae.
UAGUGAAAACACAACACUAUUUGCCAGAGAAUUACAAGUAAAAACUAGAAACUCCAAGGACUUGGCGGUGCCCCAUGUCAUCCUAGAGGAGCCUGUCCUAUAAUCGAUACCCCCCGAUCCACCCCACCACCUCUUGAAACUCAGCCUAUAUACCGCCGUCGCCAGCCUACCCUGUGAAGCAACAAUAGUAAGCAAGACCGUCAUUGACUAACACGUCAGGUCAAGGUGUAGCAUACGAGGUGGAAGAGAUGGGCUACACUCUCUUACUAAGAGGAAACACACAGCAAAAUGAAACACCAGCCCAAAGGAGGAUUUAGCAGUAAAACGGACAAGAAAGUCCGUCUAAAACCCAGCCCUGGGGCACGCACACACCGCCCGU